This 497-nucleotide ribosomal RNA is filed under the name uncultured bacterium. Its description in RNAcentral is "partial 16S ribosomal RNA". It matches the Rfam family "Bacterial small subunit ribosomal RNA", at positions 29 to 523 of the family's 1533-position model. The record is from RNAcentral.
AUUGAACGCUGGCGGCGUGCUUAACACAUGCAAGUCGAGCGGCAGCGGGCCCGCAAGGGUGCCGGCGAGCGGCGGACGGGUGAGCAAUACAUAGGAAUCUGCCUCAGAGCGGGGGAUAGCCAGGGGAAACCCUGAUUAAUACCGCAUGACGUCGAGACCAAAGUGGGGGAUCGUAAGACCUCACACUCUGAGAUGAGCCUAUGUCGGAUUAGCUAGUUGGCGGGGUAACGGCCCACCAAGGCGGCGAUCCGUAGCUGGUCUGAGAGGACGAUCAGCCACACCGGAACUGAGACACGGUCCGGACUCCUACGGGAGGCAGCAGUGGGGAAUAUUGGACAAUGGGCGAAAGCCUGAUCCAGCGACGCCGCGUGGGUGAAGAGGGCCUUCGGGUUGUAAAGCCCUUUAAGCCGGGACGAAAAAGCUACACCUAACACGUGUGGCCUUGACGGUACCGGAAGAAUAAGCACCGGCUAACUCUGUGCCAGCCGCCGCCGUAA